This 1343-nucleotide ribosomal RNA is filed under the name uncultured bacterium. Its description in RNAcentral is "16S ribosomal RNA". It matches the Rfam family "Bacterial small subunit ribosomal RNA", at positions 28 to 1378 of the family's 1533-position model. The record is from RNAcentral.
GACGAACGCUGGCGGCGUGCUUAACACAUGCAAGUCGAACGGAAAGGCCCUGCUUUUGUGGGGUGCUCGAGUGGCGAACGGGUGAGUAACACGUGAGUAACCUGCCCUUGACUUUGGGAUAACUUCAGGAAACUGGGGCUAAUACCGGAUAGGAGCUCCUGCUGCAUGGUGGGGGUUGGAAAGUUUCGGCGGUUGGGGAUGGACUCGCGGCUUAUCAGCUUGUUGGUGGGGUAGUGGCUUACCAAGGCUUUGACGGGUAGCCGGCCUGAGAGGGUGACCGGCCACAUUGGGACUGAGAUACGGCCCAGACUCCUACGGGAGGCAGCAGUGGGGAAUAUUGCACAAUGGGCGGAAGCCUGAUGCAGCAACGCCGCGUGCGGGAUGACGGCCUUCGGGUUGUAAACCGCUUUCGCCUGUGACGAAGCGUGAGUGACGGUAAUGGGUAAAGAAGCACCGGCUAACUACGUGCCAGCAGCCGCGGUGAUACGUAGGGUGCGAGCGUUGUCCGGAUUUAUUGGGCGUAAAGGGCUCGUAGGUGGUUGAUCACGUCGGAAGUGUAAUCUUGGGGCUUAACCCUGAGCGUGCUUUCGAUACGGGUUGACUUGAGGAAGGUAGGGGAGAAUGGAAUUCCUGGUGGAGCGGUGGAAUGCGCAGAUAUCAGGAGGAACACCAGUGGCGAAGGCGGUUCUCUGGGCCUUUCCUGACGCUGAGGAGCGAGAGCGUGGGGAGCGAACAGGCUUAGAUACCCUGGUAGUCCACGCUGUAAACGGUGGGUACUAGGUGUGGGGUCCAUUCCACGGGUUCCGUGCCGUAGCUAACGCUUUAAGUACCCCGCCUGGGGAGUACGGCCGCAAGGCUCAAACUCAAAGGAAUUGACGGGGCCCCGCACAAGCGGCGGAGCAUGCGGAUUAAUUCGAUGCAACGCGUAGAACCUUACCUGGGUUUGACAUGGAUCGGGAGUGCUCAGAGAUGGGUGUGCCUCUUUUGGGGUCGGUUCACAGGUGGUGCAUGGCUGUCGUCAGCUCGUGUCGUGAGAUGUUGGGUUAAGUCCCGCAACGAGCGCAACCCUUGUUCACUGUUGCCAGCACGUUAUGGUGGGGACUCAGUGGAGACCGCCGGGGUCAACUCGGAGGAAGGUGGGGAUGACGUCAAGUCAUCAUGCCCCUUAUGUCCAGGGCUUCACGCAUGCUACAAUGGCUGGUACAGAGAGUGGCGAGCCUGUGAGGGUGAGCGAAUCUCGGAAAGCCGGUCUCAGUUCGGAUUGGGGUCUGCAACUCGACCUCAUGAAGUCGGAGUCGCUAGUAAUCGCAGAUCAGCAACGCUGCGGUGAAUACGUUCCCGGG